UACAGAGGGUGCAAGCGUUGUUCGGAAUUAUUGGGCGUAAAGCGCACGUAGGCGGUUUGUUAAGUCGGAUGUGAAAUCCCUCGGCUCAACUGAGGAAGUGCAUCCGAAACUGGCAGGCUUGAGUACUAAAGAGGGUCGCGGAAUUCCCGGUGUAGAGGUGAAAAUUCGUAGAUAUCGGGGAGGAACACCGGUGGCGAAGGCGGCGACCUGGGUAGAUACUGACGCUGAGGUGCGAAAGCGUGGGGAGCAAACAGG
This 255-nucleotide ribosomal RNA is filed under the name uncultured bacterium. Its description in RNAcentral is "partial 16S ribosomal RNA". It matches the Rfam family "Bacterial small subunit ribosomal RNA", at positions 524 to 776 of the family's 1533-position model. The record is from RNAcentral.